CUGGAAAGUGGAGGGAGAGCUCAACAUGCAUCCUAAUAGGGAUGUCUGCAGAAAAAAUGAAUAUCAGGAUAAAUUUGAUGGUGCCCGAGGACCAACAAACCUUGGAUGGUUCCCAUGGAUGCUGUGGAUAUUCAGACAGCCUGUUGCCAGUCUCACCAGCACACAAGGUGAUACACUCGGUUCAGUUAAGGGAAUAACUGCCUUUACACCACAUCCCAGCUGUAACCAGGACAUCUGGGCACAGGCUUCCGACGCUGGCAACUUUCUGCUGUAUUUGCCACGAUCUUCUGAGGGUAUAAUCUGCUUUGAUACCAUAUGGGAUUCAAACAUAACACAGACCCAUCAGAGGCACCACCUCCGGCUUUCUAGGACAGAGAUGAUGUCAAUCCAAAUGAAUGACUGAUUUGCUUGGACUGAUCUAACUAAAGGUUAAGGAUGCCCUCAACAAAGGAAAAAACAGGCCAGUUUAGGCAGUGUUCUUUUUUGAGACCCGUUUCUAAAUAAAUCCAAUUAUUAGGCAGUUUCUCA
Molecule: long non-coding RNA, 528 nt
Filed under: Phasianus colchicus (ring-necked pheasant)
Lineage: Eukaryota; Metazoa; Chordata; Aves; Galliformes; Phasianidae
Description: lncRNA (ENSPCLG00000010412.1)
Source: RNAcentral